Molecule: long non-coding RNA, 11550 nt
Filed under: Amborella trichopoda
Lineage: Eukaryota; Viridiplantae; Streptophyta; Magnoliopsida; Amborellales; Amborellaceae
Description: long non-coding RNA (ATRI_LNC001764)
Source: RNAcentral
UUUGAUAUUUUUCAAAGAUUCAACUAUUUUUGGUUAACACACCAAAAAUUUCAAGUGAUAUGGAUUUGUAGAAAAAAAUUAAAAUUUAAACACUAUCGGACAUUCGUGAUCGUCAGAUCGGCUUAGAUUCAAUCUAGGCCGUUGGGCUCAUAUGUUCAUAUGAGCUAGUGGGCUAAUCCCAGCUUUUUCUUAUAUAUAUAUAUUGGGAGAGUUUGAGGUCAGCCUGCUAGCUAACAACUACAGUUGCCCAACAGCCCAUAUUGAAUCCGGGCCAGUCCAAUAGUCACGAUUGAAUUUUAAAUUUUAAUUUUUAUGUACUCUUGGAAAAUAGGCGAACCUAAUAGAAAUAUUAAAGCAAUAAUUUGUAAAAAAAUAAAUUGACUAAAAUACCUUUGAAAGCUACAAGGGUAUUUUGAUCAAUUUAUUUUUUGCGAAUAACUUUUUCAAUAUUUUUAUAGGGUGUACCUUGAUGGGAAAAAUGGAUGUUCCAAAUUUCAAGUGAUUCCUAUUUGUAGAAAAAAGAUUAAAAUUCAAAUACGAAAUACAAUUGUGAACGUAAAAUUGGCUAGAUUCAACCUGGGCCAUUGGGCUUACGCUAUUCCAUCAGCUAGUUUUAUAUAUAUAUAUAUAUAUAUAUAUAUAUAUAUAAAAUUGAAUCUGGGCAAAUUUGACGGUCACGAUCUUAUUUCGAAUAUAAUUUUAAUAUUUUUUCAAUAAAUCCAAAUUACAUGAAAUUUGAGGUGUCCAUUCUUCUCAUCACGGCACACCUUCUAAAAAUAUUUUAAAAAAUAACUCACAACAAAUAAGUUGACCAAAAUACCCAUGAAAUGUUUAAUGGGUAUUUUGGUCAAAUUGUUUUUUGUAAACUUUUUUUUUGAUAUUUUUAUUCGAUUCUCAUAUUUUUUAAGAAAUAAACGCUCCAAAUUUCAAGUGAUUUGGAUUUGUAAGAAAAAAAUUAAAAUUAAAAUACAAAAUGAAAUCGUGACUAUUAGAUCAGCCUAGAUUCAACUUGGGCCGUUGGGCUAUACUGUAGCCGUCAGCUAGUGGGCUGACAGGAUCUUAUAUAUAUUAUAUAUAUAUAUAUAUAUAUAUAUAUAUAUAUACUUAUAUUAAGUUAACUUAACGUAACGUAACGUUACGUUACCGUUCCGUCGUCGUCNNNNNNNNNNNNNNNNNNNNGUAUUACUAUAUAUAUAUAUAUAUAUAUAUAUAUAUAUAUAUAUAUAUUCAUUAAGUAACUUCAAAGGAACUUGUUACCGUUCCUGCCUAGGUGUUGCUUGAUCUUUACAAACCAAACGCCUGCAAUUUGUCCUAUUUAGAGUUGAGUUUCUGUGUAGUUUCCCUAUGUUUAUGCCAUGCAACUGUUUUUCUGUUUAUACUCAAGAUCUCCAUUCUGACACACUUUAUGGUUGUGAGCAGGUGUUGCUUUCAAGGCAUUUGAAUCUAUUUUUUGCAACUGGAGCAUUGAUGAUGCCUUCCUCGCUUUAUUUCUUUUUGAAGGUAUAUAACUCGCUUGCCUAGCUGUAGUGAUUGGAAUCAUGGUAGUCUGAUUACAUGAUGGAUGUGUUGAUAGAUUGAUACCCACCAGUGCACGUAAUGACCUAGUGGUGGAUACAGUCUCUCACUCAAUCACCAUCCAUCAUUUCAUUGGAUGGUGAUGACCCCAAUGGACAAUGGUUUUCCAUGGUCCAAAGAUUAUAGAUAGGGGGCUUUACCUCAAUUCCACAUGUUAUGAUGCACUUUAAAAUUUACCCUUGUAUGUGGUAUUUUUAUGUUAUAUGGCAGACUUUGGUUGUCAAACCGUAUUAUCUUAGGAGGGAGAGAAGAAAAGCUCUAGAAAAAUGCCAAAGUACUUCAGCUCAGGUAAAAUAGAUUAGUUCUAAAUAAUACUUGGCCUUUUACUUCAAGGAUACCUAUUACUGUUAUUAUGCAUGUCUCUUUUUCUUUUUCUUUUGUUUUCCCCCAAACUUGCAUUUCCAUGGAAAAUGUUGCGUCACAAUUUCGCUCCUGAUUAGAAAAACUUUAUUGUUCAAACUUCAAACUAAUGAUAGUGAACUGGGUGGUGUUGUAUGUGCAUGAAAACCAUGUUGAUCUGCCUAACAUAUCUAUGUAAAAGACUCUUUUCUGGUCUGCAUUUCAUGUCACAUAUUAAAAACUUUAUUCUUUUUUAGAUUUUAUGGACAUUUUUCACAUUUGUCUAUAAGAAAACUUUGAGGUUUCCUGAUUUGAUUAUAUUUUUAUGCUUUGCUAUGCCAUAGAAGCAGUUCCACAGACAAUGACGAGAAAGUCCUGGAGUAACUUCUGACAUUUCUCCCUUUUUGUAUCUUUCCAUGGAUAAUGACCAUAAACUCCCACUCCCUUAUGAAUCAAAAUGACCCAAAAUACCUGCUUUCUUAUGUAUGAAUUUUGGAGGAUGACAAAUUAUUCAUGUCAAAAUGACUCAAGAUUUUUUACAAGAAAAUAUUCAUUACCGCUUCAAAAAAUGAUACGGACAUAUUAAGUAUUGGUUAUCUUCAGGUUAAGGAGGCGAAGGUUGCAGCUGAAAAAGCUCAGCAAUUGUUGCAAAAUGUUGCCAUUAGAAAGAAAAAUAAGCAGUCAGAAACAGGGGGUUUGGUUAUUACAAAAGCAAUAUAUGGGAACCUCAAAGCUUCCAAGAAAAGGAGCGAGCAAGGUGGGGAAGAAGAUGAUGAGUUGGUCUCACAAGUUAUUGAUGUCACCUUGCCUCUUAACUUUUUGGUGACUGAUAAUGGGCAGCUCAAGGUAUGCUCUCCUCUUUCCCUUCAACUAUUGUGAAUUUAUCUUAGAAAUUACUGCAUGGAUGGGUUUAUUUAGGAGGAGCAUGUCUUCCAAGCAAGCUUAAAUAUGUAGGGGAUUGCUUCCUUUAGUGUUUCUGUAACAUAUGAACUUUUCUCUCUAAUCAUUGGGUCCUCUAUUUCCCUAUUUUUUCCAAGUAUACUAUAAUCCAAUGGACUAGGAACACAAUUACCUGUUGAGUCAUCACACUCACAUUGAAAUGGUGGAAUGUUAUAAGGAGUAACCAAGUUUGGGGCCAUUGUCAGGAUUGGACUCAAGGCAUACGUGGCCAGGGGAUGCUUCCCUAUUGGUCUACCAAAAAAAAACACACACACACACACACACAUUGAGGCCAUGUUCUGGAUGGUUCCACUCUCUCUCUCUCACCAUCCAUCAUUGCAAUGGACAGUGGGGACCAAUAGCAAAAGUAUACUUGUUUGAAUUCCUUAGUUCAUUGUAUCCCAAGUUUGAAUCUUACCACUGCACUACCCAAAAGAUAAAAAAACAUAAAAUAUGCUGUUAUUGUCAUUUCUUAUUUUAAAGCUUCUUAUUUGUUUUUUAUUGCAUUUGCUUAGCUUCACGAGGGCAUAAAGAAGUCCGGUAUCAUGGGGUUCUGUGAUCCGUGCCCAGGAGACCCGAAGCAACUGCGAGUGGAGUACACUUACAAAGGAGAUAACUAUGAGGUUUGUAACAUCAAUACCUCUUAUUUAGAAAAGCUUUUAUUCAAGGGAAAGUAUACCAUACACCAGUGGUGCAUUGUAUAUGGUACACAAUGGGUUAUGGUUAAUAUCCAUAAUGACCGUGAUGCCCUUGUUAUGUGCCGUUGCCCAUAUAUAGGUGGUGUAUGAUAUACCUAUUUGCUUAAAUAGAACAUACUAAAUCUGAAUAAGAUCAAGGAUUUCUAUUAGGAUGGCAGAUCAUUUUACAAAUAAUUGGAAUUAUUUUAGAUCCUCAGGACCCCAACUUAACUUCCAACUUUUGAGCUCACAGGUUUUGUUCUUCAAUUCUUCUUAUGCCCCUACCGUCGGUGCAUUGCAUGAAAUUUAGGAUUGAGGAGAGUUUUAAUGUUUAGGUGGUUCUUGACAAAACAUUUGCUCGAGAAAGAAUCGAUGUGGCUCGGUUGGACGAACUAUCCCCUACCCCCUACCCCCAGCUCAACCUAGGGGAAAUGCCAAUGCUAUUAUUAUAUUAUUUUUAUUGAAUUUUGGCUGGUUCAGCCGAUCCAGAUUGCCGACUUGGCCAAUCUGGGUCACUACAUCCAGACAAUCCAGGUUUUUAAACACUGGAAAAUAAUGUUUUUCAUUUUCUUAUCUGCAGGUGAUUGUUGAUGACUAUGGAGAACUGUUUAUACCACAAGAGCAUCAUAUGGUGUGAAUGGUGUUUCGAGGAUCACUUACCAAAAAAGAGUGUUGUUUCGAAUAAGGCCUUUGAACACUUGUAGGUUGCCUCAACAAAUUUUGCAUGCUAGGGCAUGUUGGAGAGGGCCCUUAGAUAUAUAUUCUAGUUUAUUUCGAUUAGAAAAAGAAUAAAUCUAAAUUCUUCUUAAAUGAAAAUUUAGGCAGAUAUUUAGUGAGAGGACAUCGCAGAACCAUCCCCUCUGUUGAUGUCAAACGGUUGAGGGCUUUAUAUACCAUUAGGGCAAGUGGGAUUUUACCCCUUAGGGGUAUUAGUGUUACUACAGUUCUAUAAUACAUGUAAUACACAGAAUGGGCUUGUAGUUUGAGGAAUCUUUCAAGUUGGGAUUUGUACUUUUUUUAUUAAAAAGAAAGUAAUAUUAAAGAAAUGAACUUGAGUUCUUGAAAGUCUAGAUCCACCAUUCAAUUAAAUGGAUUGCCUAUGUGGUAAAUGGUUAAUGUGCUUUAUCUGUUUUUAUGCGUUUUGUUAUAAAUUAUUAUUAUUAUUUUAUUUUUAUUCUGCUCUCUAGGUUGAUGCGUAAAGUUUGGAGUUCAGCAAACCCCAUCUAGGUGGUAUCGACUAAAGCUAUAAUGUAAACCCUUUUAUUUUUUAGGGUAAUUCAAUGGGGAAGACAUGCUUUAUCCGUUUUUUCAAGUAGAUUAGGAGUGUUUAACUUUUUGAAGGUAUUUCUAAGGUGGUAUUAGUGGUGAAAAGUCUUAUUUCAAUAGGGAUUGGGCCUUUACUUUUUGGUGAGAAAGGAGUCAGAGACCUCCCCAAAGAACUCGGUAAACUACUGCAAAGGCUCAAGCCAUUUCUGUAAUAUAAACCCUUUAGUUUAUAAGAUGUUUCCGUUUUAUAGGAAAUCUUUCCAUGUUUCCUUACCCUACUGCAUAAAAACAUAUGUACUUCCCUUUAUCCAACCGUCCAUUUUGAAUGGAUAGUUGAGAUGGUCUCAAUCACAAUGCUUCAUCUCUGCAUUAUUUUAUUUUUAAUUUUUUUUUCCUAAAAAUUAGUUUGACACCAAAUUUUUGGCAUUCACUCCUCUCUUAAACAAGCACUUGUAAAAAAUAUAAAAAUAAAAUAAAAUGAUCAAAAUACCCCUGAAAGUUUCAAGGGGUACUUUGGUUAUUAUAUUUUAUUAAAACAUUCUUUUUAAUAUUUUUUUUAGGUGUGCACCAUUGAAAAGAUGACGCGUAAAAUUUCUUAUUCAUACAAUUUUUAGAAAAAAAAAAACGAAAUAAGAUACAUUGAGGCAUCAAACUAGUCAAAUUAGAUCAAACGGUUAUCUAAAUUGGACGGUUGGAUGGGGAAGAAGUAUAUAUGUUCUAUGUAAUGGGCGGUUGGAUGGGGACGAAGUAUAUAUGAUUUAUGUAAGGGAAGUAUGGAAACCUUUUCCUUGUUAGUUAGUACUCAAUUUUUGUGCUUCCAAUGCAAUAUCUUUUUUAGUACGUGCAAUGAUUAGUGCAUUAGGUUUUCUGCAUGCUGAGCAGGGUACUUCAUCUAACUGGAAUCUUCAAUAAUGUGGGGAGUUUUCCCAUGGGGUUUGAACCAAAAUAUGCCCAAUUAAAUUCUCCACCUUCUCAUUAACAAAAUUUGAUAGAAAUAAACCCCAAGUUGGACAGACUCUCAAUAGAAACUGACCUUAAAUGUUUCAAAGGAUUUAUUUAUGUCAUUUUGCCCUAAAUUUGUUUCCCGUUCUUCAUAAUUUCAGGGAAACCUGCCAAACCCAUUUGGGCCUAUGAAAAUCCUUCUACCUUGGUAUGUGUGAAAAUGCUUAGGUAAAAUUAUUUUAAUACGCAAGAACUCUUCCAUACGAUUAGGUGCAAGAGUUUUUCACACCAAUUGAUCGUAAUGUAUUUUUUCACACUAAAUAUCAGCCAAUUAAUGUGAAAAAAUUUCUACACCUAAUCUUUUUAUGUGAUGAUGCUUCCACAAAAAUAUUUUCACACGUACCAAUCAUGCCAUUUAAUGAAGGAGAACAUUUUUAGGACAAUAACAAGAAGAGAUAAUUUGAAGAAACCCAAGCCUUGAGAACCCGUGUGCCUAAGCCCUAGAACUAGAAUGUAAACCCCUCUUUUUGCUUUUUAUAUUUGUAAAUUGGAUGUAAAUCGUAAUAGGUUUCUCAAGAGUAUCCUGUACACAAGUGUAUACAUUUUUCUUGCGAAUUUGUACUGUGAUUGUGUGUCUAUGGUUUGUUGCCUUGAUUGGACUCCCUUUCAUAAAAAUAUAUUCAAAACGCACUUCCCCCACACGUUAAAUGUCAAGCACUAAACACCGGCUGCCCACUAUGAGCUACUCAACAAAAAUAAAGAAUUGUGCUUCAGUAGGACUUGGCGUUUCCCUUUCUUGUACUUGCCCCUUUAAACAUCUAUGUUAGAUUUAGUUGAAACAAAAAUAGCCUCAUUUAUCAUUUUCAUCAAAGCUUUUCUCAACUAAUUGGUGUCAACUACACAAAUACUGGUUCGCCAUUCUACUCUAAGAACUAUACACUCAGUGAAGCCAUAAGUCCCUAUAUUUUUUAUUACUACUUUAAACUAUGUCUUUUUGGGCCUACAUCUUGUCUUUUUAGAGCUUUUCACUUGAAUUAACUCGCAUCUCGUAAUAGGUGUUGUAUUGGAUCUGAGCCGUACAUAACCAGUCCACCUAAGUCUACUCUAUCUCAUCUUAUCGCCUAUUGGUACCAAACUUCAAUUUUUUUGAAUGUAUUCAUUUCGAAUUAUAUCCAUUCUUGUCUUGCCACUCAUCCUAAUUACACCUAUAUUUUCCUAAAAAGAUUGAGGGUAAUCAUAGUGCCACUCAUCUUAAUUACACCUAUAUUUUCCUAAAAAGAUUGAGGGUAAUCAUAGUAAUUGGUAAAAGGGAAAAAUGGAGUUUUGAGAUGCACCUUGUAUAAGGGAUCAAAGUGGUAUCAUACUCGUCCCUUUUGAGGUCACCCUGUUAUGCAUUACGAGAAUGGUUGACAUCAUACUUAUCCCUCUUGGGGGUCAUUUAGUAAAUGAAAUUUCUUUAACUUUCAAAAAAAAAAAGAAAAAAAAAAAAGGUCGGUGGCUUACGUGAGAGAGGAAUGCCCUAUUGUAAGCAUGACCUUCACGAAAGUUUAUAUAAGGUAUCAACCUCGUAUUGUAGAAAUAAAGUACAUUUAAAGAAUCCAUCGCAAAGAUCGUUUAGACAUUGGAAAACCCAUCAAAUUGCUCAUAUCAACCUCAAGAGGUAUAAAUAUGAAAAAAAAUAAAUUUCAAAUCCUAAAUAUAGUAUAUUUUGUAACAUAUUAUCUGGAUUGUCUAUUUUCAGGAUUUUUAAGUAUUUAUAGAUAUGGUUGAUCAAAACUAUUUUUGGCAAAAUUUUAUAGUUAGAUGACAAAAUACAUUUUUAGGUCAUCCUAAUAAAAUUUGACACCAGGAUUACAUCUCUCGACAAAGUUUAGAAGUGCGUCUUACUUAGAUUGUGUAAGGUUACAACCUUAUGCAAAUCAUGCCCAAAUAUAUAUACUGAGAUAAUCGGGUACAAAUUCCUAGCACCUAUUGCACUCCUUUCUAUCUUUAAAGCCAAACAAUAUUAUCUUUCAGCAGCCUCAUCAUACUAUCUAUUUACUCGCUCAAGUAAAAUCUCAUUUAGGAAUAACUUUAGGACCCCAUAUUUUGGGAGUGUAACCUCUUCAACCCCUAGAUUAACCUCAAGCAAAGAAAUUUCCUUGCACCCUCUAUGCGUUGAGAAGAAUAUUGCCUCAAGAUUGAAUGGAGAAAGUCUAAUUUUUAGAGGGUGAAAUCUGUGUUAGGAAACUUAAAAUUCAGCUUUUUCUUUGAGAAUAAUAAAUCCUAGGGAUUUCCAAAAUUCAAAUUAAAAAAAUCCUCUCUUCUUACCGAGGGAAUAGAUAUACUAUGCUCUCUUAAGAGCAUGGUAUACGCGCUCAUAAAAAAAGUAGUGCCUACCUGUCUUUUUCAAUCCCAAGCCUAACCCUGAGAGAGAGAAGAUAAAUACAAUAAAAAGGGAAAAACUCAUUAUUAGAGCAAAUAAAAUUUUAGAGGGGGAAAAUGGUGGGGGAGUCCUGCUUACUAAAACCCCUUGCCAAAAGAAAGGCCUAAUAAACAAAAAAAGGUGGUGGAAGUAGAAGUAAAAAAAGAGGAGGAGAACCAAAGAAGAUAAGCGGAGCAGCAGGAGAAAGUGCUCCCCUUAUCUGUGUAACUCUCCCAUGUUAUUCACCCCCUUAAUCAAUAUCUCACGAAAAACACCUUUCUCUCUUGUAUCCCCAUGUUGCCUUUACAAGGAGCUAUCGCGUAGCGAAAUAUGUAUAUAGCUUUCGGACCAAAUAUCGAACUUUUGGUUUGUAUGUGCGAAGAACUGGGAAACAAGCAAAUAAGCCAGCACCAUAGAUACAAAAAUUAAAAGUCGUUCAUCUCGCCUCACAGGAGAGCCAAAAAAAAAAAAGCUACCAAGCCAAGGCUCAUACAUAGGGAAAGCAAAGAAACUAAUGUUACAUAGACGAAACAUAAGUUUAGAGAUAUUCAAUAGUUUGAACCUGAGACCUAGUGCAUGUGAUAGCCAAAACUUGUAAUAAAUGAAGAAAUAUACUUAUUUGAUCAAUUAUAAGAAACUAUUAUAUUAUUAAAAAAGACUAAUCUAUGCUGGUGAAGCAUCAUAUCGAGCAUCUGCACAUUGAUUCGAUUUUGAGGAUUGCCCCAUGCUGUCCUUCACAAACAAUGACUCAAAACUCAGUGUAUCUGGCUCAGACUCGAGCUGGUUACUUGGACUUGGUAGGCUCAAGUCUAGAACCAAACCCAUGAAAAUCAGCCAGAGUCGGAGUUUCCCAACUGCGACAAAUAGUCGCACAAGGAGCUCACAAAAUGGAACAAGAGAACAAGGGUGGAAGUGCCUCCAAUGAGGAGGAAAAGUGCCCAAAAGCAAUCAAAGUUGAGACUACCAUCAUUGCUUUCAUCAGAUGUAAUUGGUCAGAGGAUAGCCACUUCCUUUCCAAAAGCAUAAUCUCUCCACUUUCUUUCAUCUCCAAGAUAGCUUUAGAAAUAUCAGUGGCAAGAGGGGAUCCUAUGGGAAAGGCCUGAAACAUGUACAACUGUGUAGUUGUCAUAUAAAAAAAAUGCAGUUAUUCAUGCUUGUAAUGCUGAAUAAAAAAUGGGCAAUCAAAGAAUGAAGCAAAACAAUGUCCUAGGGUGAGAUUCAAGCAUUGCAGUUGAAAAUAGUGAUUGUUUAGGUUAGAAAAGGCCCCUAUGUCUCACCUCUGUUUAGCUAACAAAUCAGCCUUGGCAUUUUUCCCAUCUCAACCCAAUAUUCUUCAAAGUCUAAGGUGCAUGCCUCCCUCUCCCUCUCUCUCAUGCAUGCCUCUCUAUUCAGAGUUAAAAACUGAACACCUCUCUGUAUCUUAUGCACGUCUCUCAACUCACUCUUUCCUCGACAUUCCAAAAUAGAUUCAACCACGCACAUACACUGCUAAUAUGUGAUAAGAUGCUAACAAAGAAUAAUAACAAAAAAUUGACCAGAUGUUUGAAACUGUACAAAUUACACACUUGUAUACUUUGCCAAUGCCACCAUCUAACCAUUAACCCCAUUUAAUAUCCUCCACCCCCUUCUCUCUCUCUCUCUAUAUAUAUAUAUAUAAAAUGUAAGGUACUACAAAACACCUAUAGGCAAAAAUGAAGAGUGAUUCUACUUACCUUCAUCAUUAUCCAAACUUCAUCGUAUGGUCAUAAUUGUCCGGUAGUAUUUUAUUUUUCAUUUUUUUCUACAAAUCGGAAUGAUUUGAAAUUUGGAGUGUGUGUACAUCUUAGUGAGACGCACCUAAUAAAAAUAUAAAAAAUAAUUCACAAAAUAUAAAUUGAUCAAUUAUGGGGGUAUUUUGAUCAAUUUAUAUUUUGUGAAUUAUUUUUUUUCAUAUUUUUAUUAGGUGUGCCUCACUAGGAUGUACACACGCUCCAAAUUUCAAGUAAUUUGGCUUUGGAGGAAAAAAAAUAAAAAUUGAAACGCUACCUAACUACGGUAACCGUGCGAUGAAGUUUGGAUGGUGAUGAGGGAAGGCGAGAUCACUGUUCAUUUUCGCUUAGAGGCGUUGGGAAAAGUUAUAUAUAUAUAUAUAUGAAAAAUAUGAGAUUAACCCACUAGCUCAUAUGAACAUAUGAGUCCAACGGCCAAGAUUGAAUUUGGACUGAUCUGAUGAUCACGGAUGUCCCGUACCGUUUGAAUUUUAGUUUUUUAUCUACAAAUCCAAAUCACUUAAAAUUGUAGGUGUAUAUUUUUCUCAUCAAGUUGCACUUAAUAAAAAUAUAAAAAUAAUUAUCCGUUAAAAAUAAAAUGAUCAACAUACCCCCUAAAACAUUUCGACGAUAUUUUGGUCAAUGUUUUUCAUAUAAAAUAUUUGUUUGAUAUUAUUCAAAAGUUCACUUAUUUUUUAUGAACACACACCUAAAAUUUCAAGUGAUUUGGAUUAUAAAAAAAGCACUAAAAUUCAAAUACUACCGAACAUUCGUGAUCGUCAGAUCUGGGACGUUGAACUCAUAUAUUCAUAUGAGCUAAUGGGCUUAUCUCAUCUUAUAUAUAUAUAUAUAUAUAUAUAUAUAUAUAUNNNNNNNNNNNNNNNNNNNNNNNNNNNNNNNNNNNNNNNNNNNNNNNNNNNNNNNNNNNNNNNNNNNNNNNNNNNNNNNNNNNNNNNNNNNNNNNNNNNNNNNNNNNNNNNNNNNNNNNNNNNNNNNNNNNNNNNNNNNNNNNNNNNNNNNNNNNNNNNNNNNNNNNNNNNNNNNNNNNNNNNNNNNNNNNNNNNNNNNNNNNNNNNNNNNNNNNNNNNNNNNNNNNNNNNNNNNNNNNNNNNNNAACCAUUACGUUGUAGUACGUCUACGAGUACUGGUACGGUGUAACUACUAUAUAUUACUAUAUAGUAGACGUAUAGGUGUAUACUCUAUAUAUAUAUAUAUAUAUAUAUAUAUAUAUAUAUAUGAGAUAAUCUAAACUUCACAACCCUUCAAAUUACAAAAAGUUCAAGAUAAAAAGAGGUGUGAAGGAUGAAUUUAUUAAUUUUAUAAUUUAUUUUUUAAAAAAGUUACCUUUUUGGUGCACUUUUGUAAAUAUUACUACAAGACUAAAGAUACUUUUGUCAUCUUCAUUAGGGGUAAAGUUGAAAUUUUAAUUAAAAGACAAAGGUACUCUACAAACAAAAUUCCAAGACACUAACUUCUAAAAUGCCAUUGUAUUUUUGUGAAAAUUUCAAAUUUGUCCUUGUUUAAUAGUAAGUUACCUAUUUAAAUAAUUUUUUAAUAAAAAAAUAAUGAUUGUUUUAAUAAAUACACCAAUCACAAUCCCUUUUGUAUUUUGAAAGGUUGUUAACUAUAGACAAACUCAUAUAUAUAUAUAUAUAUAUAU